UAUGAGUCAACAUUUCUUCAAUCUUUAGCUUCCAGCCUUUUUACCUUUACCCAAAUUCUCUUCUGCUUCUUUUCUCCAAUGGCGUCCUCUAAUCCUAAUCUCUCAAUUCCUUCAAUGGAUUUCCUCUGAAACUUCCCAACCACCUUCUUUCCUCCAACGACACACAGUUUAGGCCAUGGCAUUGCCAUUGCAUUUGGCGUUCUGGAUCGCCGAUAUGGUUUGGGGUGCCUUUAGCGGCUGUAUUUCUUCUUGUUUGGCCUUUGCCGACGAAGUCGCCAGCUCCAUCAGAACUGGCGAUAUUGGCGCUUUUCACAUUGGCUGACCGGGUUUUCUUCGAUUUUCAUCAAUUCUUAACUCUCUGAGAUGGUGGCUUGGCUUGGGGGCUUAGAUAACUUGAGGUUGAAGACUUGCCUGUAACUAUGAAGACUAUUCACCUUAAUCUAGCUAGUGAAUGGAUGUCAAGCGCCCCUACUAACGAAAUUAGAUUGUGAGGCUGUCGCAAUGUGACCAACAAUUUAAAGUUGUUGAUGUGUGAGAGAAACUUUGAAAGUACUUUGAAUUCAAGGUAAUAUAGAUUGAAGACUUGUUCAAUUGUAUGAUGAGACACUCAGUAUCUUUUAGUGAACAACUUUUUUCUAAUAGACUAGAUAUGGAGCAACGAUAGAGCUAAUGAGCUAUAACUUCCCUGCCUUGCAAGUUUAUAUUUGUAUACUUGCUUAAGAUAGUAGAGAUUUAUGAAUUCUUUUGUCUGAUAGUAUGUGGGGUGGGUGAAUCGAACAUUGGAUUUUGUGAUUGAUGGCAUAACUUUGUAAACACGAUGUAAGUUAAACAAUGCUCAUUAUUUGUGAUAAUGAAAUUUUACUUUUUACUUGA
Cucumis sativus (cucumber) is the source of this 873-nucleotide long non-coding RNA. RefSeq lists it as uncharacterized. The record is from RefSeq and is a predicted model, not a curated record. NCBI's taxonomy places the organism in Eukaryota, Viridiplantae, Streptophyta, Magnoliopsida, Cucurbitales, Cucurbitaceae. The transcript has 2 exons.